RNAcentral lists this ribosomal RNA (250 nucleotides) under uncultured bacterium. Its description in RNAcentral is "partial 16S ribosomal RNA". It matches the Rfam family "Bacterial small subunit ribosomal RNA", at positions 524 to 769 of the family's 1533-position model. The record is from RNAcentral.
UACGAAGGGGGCUAGCGUUGCUCGGAAUCACUGGGCGUAAAGCGCACGUAGGCGGACUCUUAAGUCGGUGGUGAAAUCCUGGAGCUCAACUCCAGAACUGCCUUCGAUACUGAGAGUCUUGAGUCCGGGAGAGGUGAGUGGAACUGCGAGUGUAGAGGUGAAAUUCGUAGAUAUUCGCAAGAACACCAGUGGCGAAGGCGGCCUCACUGGCCCGGUACUGACGCUGAACGGUGCGAAAGACGUGGGGAGC